CCAACGUGAAUACCCUAGGAGGUUACUCUCCUGGGCAAAGGGGAGCACAGGGCAGUGCCCCAUGAUGUAUGAUCCCUUACCACAACGUUGGAGGUAAAGCUGGGCUUUGAGUCUGCACCUGCAUAUUCCUCCAGCUUCUCAGUCCUGCGGACCAUGACAAGCCAUGCAGGAAACAUCU
Small nucleolar RNA from Talpa occidentalis (Iberian mole), 178 nucleotides. RefSeq annotates it as small nucleolar RNA SNORA73 family. The record is from RefSeq and is a predicted model, not a curated record. NCBI's taxonomy places the organism in Eukaryota, Metazoa, Chordata, Mammalia, Eulipotyphla, Talpidae. The transcript has a single exon.